This 74-nucleotide transfer RNA is filed under the name Nocardia farcinica. RNAcentral describes it as "tRNA-Arg". Lineage: Bacteria; Bacillati; Actinomycetota; Actinomycetes; Mycobacteriales; Nocardiaceae. The record is from RNAcentral.
GCCGGAUACAGCCGGGACAGGGGCUUACCUGCCUCCGGAGCAGAAGGCCGCAGGUUCGAAUCCUGCCGAGGGCA